CCUACGGGAGGCUGCAGUGGGGAAGCUUCGGCAAUGGGCGAAAGCCUGACCGAGCGACGCCGCGUGAGCGAAUGAAGGCCCUAUGGGUUGUAAAGCUCUGUCAGAUUGGGAAGAAAACUCCGGGGUCAAUACCCCCGGAGCUUGACGGUACCAUCAGAGGAAGCACCGGCUAACUCCGUGCCAGCAGCCGCGGUAAUACGGAGGGUGCAAGCGUUGUUCGGAUUCACUGGGUAUAAAGGGUGCGCAGGCGGCUCGGUAAGUCAGGGGUGAAAUAUGACGGCUCAACCGUCAAACUGCCUCUGAAACUGCCUUGCUUGAGUCCGGGAGAGGAAGGUGGAAUUCCUGGUGUAGCGGUGAAAUGCGUAAAUAUCAGGAGGAACACCGGUGGCGAAGGCGGCCUUCUGGCCCGGUACUGACGCUCAUGCACGAAAGCCAGGGGAGCGAACGGGAUUAGAUACCCGAGUAGUC
Molecule: ribosomal RNA, 468 nt
Filed under: uncultured bacterium
Lineage: Bacteria
Description: bacterial SSU rRNA
Rfam family: Bacterial small subunit ribosomal RNA
Source: RNAcentral